UACGUAGGGAGCAAGCGUUGUCCGGAAUCAUUGGGCGUAAAGAGCGCGUAGGCGGUCCGGUAAGUCGGUUGUGAAAACUGGGGGCUCAACCCUCAGAGGCCGACCGAUACUGCCGGGCUAGAGUCCGGAAGAGGCGAGUGGAAUUCCUGGUGUAGCGGUGAAAUGCGCAGAUAUCAGGAGGAACACCAAUGGCGAAGGCAGCUCGCUGGGACGGUACUGACGCUGAGGAACGAAAGCUAGGGGAGCAAACAGG
Molecule: ribosomal RNA, 253 nt
Filed under: uncultured bacterium
Lineage: Bacteria
Description: partial 16S ribosomal RNA
Rfam family: Bacterial small subunit ribosomal RNA
Source: RNAcentral